GGGUGUCGAGACGCUUAAAGGGACCGGUCCCCAAAGAGGAGAGAGAUUUAAAGGUGCAGGCUGCCGGGCUGUCGCCGGCCAGGGGGCGCCGAGCUCGGUGCGCGGGAGACCUACGUAAAGUGGUAGGUGCUCGGGAGAGCAGGACGCUUUAAGGAGACCAGAGCCAAGCUUGUGAAGAGGCUGGGAUGGGGUGAGAACACGUCCGUUGAAGGCAGGGAUAAAGGAGUCGCUUGUCAAGGGCCCGGCGAGGUCUCCCUCUAAGGAGAAAAGAACAUGCACUCCUGCUCUCCCCCAAUGUCCUUUCUGGCUCCUCCAGGCUCCCUUGACCCCGGACCCCCCUGUUCCCAGGCUAUGGCCCCCAGUGCCCUGUAGACCUGGCGCGACUCCCGUGCUUUCGACCCCUAUUUGGGGCCCUGGGUGGCUACUGGAGGGCCUUGCGGAGGGGCAGAGAAGGCAGGACCAUGGCAUCUAGGGCCUCUGAACCUCCCUCAGGGCGCAGCGUGACGGCGGGCAUCAUCAUCGUUGGAGAUGAGAUCCUCAAGGGACACACUCAGGACACCAACACCUACUUUCUCUGCCGGACACUGCGCUCCCUGGGGGUCCAGGUGUGCCGGGUCUCCGUCGUACCCGACGAGGUGGCCACCAUCGCGGCAGAGGUCACUUCUUUCUCCAGCCGCUUCACCCACGUCCUCACGGCAGGGGGCAUCGGCCCCACUCACGAUGAUGUGACCUUUGAGGCGGUAGCACAGGCCUUCGGGGAUGAGCUCAAGCCGCACCCCGAGCUGGAAGCGGCCAUCCGAGCCCUCGGAGGGAAGGGCUGCGAGAAGCUGUCCGUAGUGCCCUCCUCCGCCCGCCUGCAUUACGGCACAGACCCUCGCACGGGCCGGCCCUUCAAGUUCCCGCUGGUCUCCGUCCGAAAUGUCUACCUCUUCCCAGGCAUUCCCGAGCUGCUGCGGAGGGUGCUGGAGGGGCUGAAGGGGCUGUUCCGCAACACGGCGGUGCAGUUCCACCUGCGGGAGCUGUACGUGGCCGCCGACGAGGCCUCCAUCGCCCCCGUGCUGGCUGAGGCGCAGGCCCGCUUUGGGCGCAGGCUCAGCCUGGGCUCCUACCCCGACUGGGGCAGCAACUACUAUCGGGUGAAGCUGUCGCUGGACGCGGAGGAAGAAGGGCCGCUGGAGGAGUGCCUGGCCUACCUGACUGCCCGUCUGCCCCCGGGAUCGCUGGUCCCCUACGUGCCCGACGCCGUGGGGCAGGCCAGGGAGGCUGUCUACCAGCUCGCAGAAUCAGUAAACGUCAACCGGGUGCCCGCUCCUGCCAGCACUGUGCUGGGUACUGCGGACCGAGCUCAACAGGACAGUGUGUUACACACCACGGCCUUCUGGGCCGGCAGUGUAACAAGAAAGGGUCUCCUCUGGGGGGGAAGGUGGCAGGCGCCCUGCAGACCAUUGAGACCGCCCUGGCUCAGUACGACCUCAGCCACCUUUGCGUGGGCUUCAAUGGAGGCAAGGACUGCACGGCCCUCCUGCACCUCUUCCACGCGGCCGUGCAGAGUCCAUCCAGGAGCAGAGAGAACAGUGUGCGAGCUCUCUGGGGAGCAUCGCUCUGCCAAGCCUGUGCGUCCUCCCCUCCCCAGGACACGCCCCGAUACUCAGGAGCCCCUCCAGAUCCUGUACAUCCGCAACAUCUCCCCCUUCCCCGAGCUGGAGCAGUUCCUACAGGACACCAUCAAGAGGUAUAACCUGCAGGUGCUGGAGGCCGAGGGCCACAUGAAGCAGGCCCUGUGUGAGCUGCAGGCCCGGCACCCCCGGCUGGAGGCCGUCCUGAUGGGCACCCGCCGCACCGACCCCUACUCCUGCAGCCUCCACCCCUUCAGCCCCACGGACCCUGGCUGGCCUGCCUUCGUGCGCGUCAACCCGCUGCUGGUCUGCGCUGCCCAGGAUGGCAGCCACUAGCCUUUUAUCGAUACUCAAAUUACAACCUACUGAAAUGAAAGAAAGAAUGACCCAAAACCACUGAGUGGUGCGCUCAAAGUGUGACGAAUUCUGUGGUGUGUGUGUUAUAUCUUAAUUUUAAAAAUUAAAUACCGUUCAGAAUUCGCUUCUUCAGAGGCACUAACCCCAUUUCCAGCCGCGGCCACGUUAGACGGCCCAGCUGGAGACGCAGCGGGCUGCGUGGACUCCUGGACACAACCACGUCUGUCCUGGAGCACGCCGGUCCCUGGGGGGUGGCUUGGGGGCAAAGGGAGGCGGGCAAAGGUUUCCCAUUUUGCGUCGCGUGGCCGCACCCAGCAGGCUGUGCCGGAGAAUCCCAGAGAAUCCCAGAGAAUCCCAGAGAAUCCCACAGGAGGCCUCCCUCAGAGCCCGGGAAGCAGAAGAGCUCUAGGCGGGCCCCUGCCCAGGCGGCAGGCCGCAGUGUGGGAGGGGGGACUUUGUGACCCCACUCUGACCCCCAGGACUGGACCUACAGAGACAUCUGGGACUUCCUGCGGCAGCUGUUUGUCCCGUACUGUGUCCUAUAUGACCGAGGCUACACGUCGCUGGGGGGCCGCGAGAACACCGUGAGGAACCCGGCCCUGAAGUGCCUGAGCCCGGGGGGCCAGCCCACCUACCGGCCAGCCUACCUCCUGGAGAACGAAGACGAG
Molecule: RNA transcript, 2641 nt
Organism: Leopardus geoffroyi (Geoffroy's cat)
Lineage: Eukaryota; Metazoa; Chordata; Mammalia; Carnivora; Felidae
Gene: FLAD1
Gene name: flavin adenine dinucleotide synthetase 1
Exons: 8
Source: RefSeq, a predicted model, not a curated record